UACGGAGGGGGCUAGCGUUGUUCGGAAUUACUGGGCGUAAAGCGCACGUAGGCGGCUUUGUAAGUUAGAGGUGAAAGCCCGGGGCUCAACUCCGGAAUUGCCUUUAAGACUGCAUCGCUAGAAUUGUGGAGAGGUAAGUGGAAUUCCGAGUGUAGAGGUGAAAUUCGUAGAUAUUCGGAAGAACACCAGUGGCGAAGGCGACUUACUGGACACAUAUUGACGCUGAGGCACGAAGGCCAGGGGAGCAAACGGG
Molecule: ribosomal RNA, 253 nt
Filed under: uncultured bacterium
Lineage: Bacteria
Description: partial 16S ribosomal RNA
Rfam family: Bacterial small subunit ribosomal RNA
Source: RNAcentral